GUAGAUCAGACUAAAAUCAGGCCAAUAGUUCUUCAUUCUAUUUCUCUCAUGUCUCAAAUGAAAGAAAAUCAUCCAAUUUGAAUCCAUAUCUAUCUUAUAAUUCCAAGAACAUAUAUCCAAUUAAUUAAUCGUGAGUUAUUAUAAUUAACCUCCUCCCGUUGGUGUACCUCCCCCUCAAGGAUAUCCACCAAAGGAUGCAUAUGGUUACCCUCCAAAAGGUUAUGCCCCGCAAGUUUAUCAAGGCUACCCUCCUCCGCGCGCCUCAAUAUGCCGCUCCGCCACCUCAAGAAAACUCAGCCACCACGAUGGGCUGUUUGGCUGCGUUUUGCUGUUGUUCAUAUCUUUUAGAGGCAUGCUUUUGACA
Solanum dulcamara is the source of this 364-nucleotide long non-coding RNA. RefSeq lists it as uncharacterized. The record is from RefSeq and is a predicted model, not a curated record. NCBI's taxonomy places the organism in Eukaryota, Viridiplantae, Streptophyta, Magnoliopsida, Solanales, Solanaceae. The transcript has 3 exons.